Molecule: ribosomal RNA, 1777 nt
Filed under: Rhipicephalus microplus (southern cattle tick)
Lineage: Eukaryota; Metazoa; Arthropoda; Arachnida; Ixodida; Ixodidae
Description: SSU rRNA
Rfam family: Eukaryotic small subunit ribosomal RNA
Source: RNAcentral
CCUGGUUGAUCCUGCCAGUAAUCAUAUGCUUGUCUCAAAGAUUAAGCCAUGCAUGUCUAAGUACAUGCCGAAAUAAGGCGAAACCGCGAAUGGCUCAUUAAAUCAGUUAUGGUUCCUUAGAUCGUUUCUUCCUACUUGGAUAACUGUGGCAAUUCUAGAGCUAAUACAUGCAGUGAGCCUGGAGCCCUUUGGGUAACGGGUGCUUUUAUUAGACCAAGAUCGAUCGGGUUUCGGCCCGUAUUGUGUGGUGACUCUGGAUAACUUUGUGCUGAUCGCAUGGCCACGAGCCGGCGACGUUUCUUUCAAGUGUCUGCCUUAUCAACUUUCGAUGGUAGGUUACUUGCUUACCAUGGUUGUUACGGGAACGGAGAAGUCCCUAGGUUCGAUUCCGGAGAGGAGCGCCUGAAAAGGCUUUACCACCAUUCCCAAGGGGAAGGGCAGCAAAUGGCCCCGCCGGCAAAUUACCCACUCCCCCGUGGACAACGGGGGAGGUAGUGGGACGAAGAAAAAAUAACAAUACGGGACUCUUUUGAGGCCCCGUAAUUGAAAUGAGUACACUCUAAAUCCUUUAACGAGGAUCAAUUGGAGGGCAAGUCUGGUGCCAGCAGCCGCGGUAAUUCCAGCUCCAAUAGCGUAUACUAAAGCUGCUGCGGUUAAAAAGCUCGUAGUUGGAUCUCAGUUCCAGACGAGUAGUGCAUCUACCCGAUGCGACGGCUCGGACUGAACAUCAUGCCGGUUCUUUCUUGGUGCACUUCAUUGUGUGCCUCGAGAUGGCCGGUGCUUUUACUUUGAAAAAAUUAGAGUGCUCAACGCAGGCGAGUCGCCUGAAUAAACUUGCAUGGAAUAACAGAACAAAGGUAUUGUUGUUGGUUUUUUGGAAAUACGAGUAAAAGAUAAAAGGGACGGACGGGGGCAUUCGUAUUGCGGCGCAUGUGGUGAAAUUCUUGGACCGUCGCAAGACGAACUACUGCGAAAGCAUUUGCCAAGAAUGUUUUCAUUGAUCAAGAACGAAAGUCAGAGGUUCGAAGGCGAUCAGAUACCGCCCUAGUUCUGACCAUAAACGAUGCCAACCAGCGAUCCGCCUGAGUUACUCAAAUGACUGGCGGGCAGCUUCCGGGACCAAAAGAUUGGGUUCCGGGGGAAGUAUGGUUGCAAAGCUGAAACUUAAAGGAAUUGACGGAAGGGCACCACCAGGAGUGGAGCCUGCGGCUUAAUUUGACUCAACACGGGAAAACUUACCCGGCCCGGACACUGGGAGGAUUGACAGAUUGAGAGCUCUUUCUUGAUUCGGUGGAUGGUGGUGCAUGGCCGUUCUUAGUUGGUGGAGCGAUUUGUCUGGUUAAUUCCGAUAACGAACGAGACUCUAGCCUAUUAAAUAGGUGCGGGGUUCCCAGCACCUUACAACCUUCUUAGAGGGACAAGCGGCUCCUAGCCGCACGAAACAGAGCAAUAACAGGUCUGUGAUGCCCUUAGAUGUCCGGGGCCGCACGCGCUACACUGAAGGAAGCAGCGUCUGUUUAUCCCUGUCUGAAAAGACUGGGUAACCCGUGGAACUUCUUUCGUGAUUGGGAUAGGGGCUUGCAAUUGUUCCCCUUGAACGAGGAAUUCCCAGUAAGCGCGAGUCAUAAGCUCGCGUUGAUUACGUCCCUGCCCUUUGUACACACCGCCCGUCGCUACUACCGAUUGAAUGAUUUAGUGAGGUCUUCGGACCGAUGUCCGGCGCGGCCUUUCGGUUGCUCCGGUCUGUUGGAAAGAUGACCAAACUUGAUCAUUUAGA